GCCUUGUUAGCUCAGUUGGUAGAGCAUUGGACAUUUAAUCCAAAGGUUGUGGGUUCAAGUCCCACAUAGGGCG
This 73-nucleotide transfer RNA is filed under the name Hofstenia miamia. RNAcentral's name for it is "tRNA-Lys for anticodon UUU". It matches the Rfam family "tRNA". From Rfam's summary of the family: Transfer RNA (tRNA) molecules are approximately 80 nucleotides in length. Their secondary structure includes four short double-helical elements and three loops (D, anti-codon, and T loops). Further hydrogen bonds mediate the characteristic L-shaped molecular structure. tRNAs have two regions of fundamental functional importance: the anti-codon, which is responsible for specific mRNA codon recognition, and the 3' end, to which the tRNAs corresponding amino acid is attached (by aminoacyl-tRNA synthetases). tRNAs cope with the degeneracy of the genetic code in two manners: having more than one tRNA (with a specific anti-codon) for a particular amino acid; and 'wobble' base-pairing, i.e. permitting non-standard base-pairing at the 3rd anti-codon position. The record is from RNAcentral. Lineage: Eukaryota; Metazoa; Xenacoelomorpha; Acoela; Hofsteniidae.